AGAGAGAGACAUGCGCGCAUAUCAAUAAGCGGAGGAAAAGAAACUAACUAGGAUUCCCUCAGUAACGGCGAGUGAAGCGGGAAGAGCUCAAAUUUGAAAUCUUAAAGGUUCUACCUUGACGAAUUGUAGUUUAAAGAAGUGUUUUCUGUUGGAGGUUUUGGUAAAAGUUCUUUGGAAUAGGACAUCAUAGAGGGUGAGAAUCCCGUAUUUGACCAUUAUUUCAGCUGUGUGAUACACUUUCAAAGAGUCGGAUUGUUUGGGAAUGCAGUCCAAAAUGGGUGGUAAAUUUCAUCUAAAGCUAAAUACUGGCGAGAGACCGAUAGCGAACAAGUACCGUGAGGGAAAGAUGAAAAGAACUUUGAAAAGAGAGUUAAACAGUACGUGAAAUUGUCAAAAGGGAAGCGUUUGACACCAGUGUUGUUUUCUCGAAAAUCAAUUAAAAAAGGCAGGAUUUUGUGUUGUAUUGACUUUAUCAGCUUUCUGCACUCUUUUCUUGUCUUUUUUAAUGCACUUUUCGUUUAACAAGUCAACAUCAAUUUCUUUUGUUGUAAAAGGUCAUUGGAAGGUGGCUUUCUUUUCGGAGAAAGUGUUUAUAGCCUUUGGCCUCUGCAAUCGGAGAGAUUGAGGUCUGCAGCGUAGAUCCUUCGGGGUUAGAUACAUUUGUGCUAAGUUAUAGCCUUUCAUAGACAACUUGUUGACUAUGAUCAGUCAUGUAGCUUACUCGCUUAUGCUAUUUUACCUACGCUUAGGAUGUUGAUGUGAUACUGCGAGCA
RNAcentral lists this ribosomal RNA (773 nucleotides) under uncultured Neocallimastigales. RNAcentral's name for it is "partial large subunit ribosomal RNA". It matches the Rfam family "Eukaryotic large subunit ribosomal RNA", at positions 23 to 628 of the family's 3401-position model. Lineage: Eukaryota; Fungi; Neocallimastigomycota; Neocallimastigomycetes; Neocallimastigales. The record is from RNAcentral.